AUACGGAGGUGGCAAGCGUUACUCGGUUUGACUGGGUGUAAAGGGUCCGUAGGCGGCCAGAUAAGUGGAAGGUGAAAUCCUUUUGCUCAACGGAAGAACUGCCUUUCAAACUGCUUGGCUUGAGGUUGGAAGAGGAGAGUGGAACUGUCGGUGUAAAGGUGAAAUUUGUGGAUAUUGACAGGAACGCCCGUGACGAAGGUGACUCUCUGGUCCAAUCCUGACGCUGAGGGACGAAAGCUAGGGUAGCAAACAGGAUUAGAUACCCCGGUAGUCC
Molecule: ribosomal RNA, 274 nt
Filed under: uncultured bacterium
Lineage: Bacteria
Description: partial 16S ribosomal RNA
Rfam family: Bacterial small subunit ribosomal RNA
Source: RNAcentral